This 61-nucleotide ribosomal RNA is filed under the name Phytophthora infestans T30-4. Its description in RNAcentral is "28S ribosomal RNA". Lineage: Eukaryota; Oomycota; Peronosporomycetes; Peronosporales; Peronosporaceae. The record is from RNAcentral.
CUCUUUAGCUUGGCAUUUGAAUCGGCUUUGCUGUUGCGAAGUAGAGUGGCGGCUUCGGCUG